AUGACGUCGUGGCUGAACAACAACGAGACGUUGGAAGACGAUGACGAGUACAUGAGUGAGUUCAGCAGCAUGCAGAUGGAGUACUUUCAAACUCCUGACACUGUGAUAGACCCUAGUUUCUGUGGGCUUGUGACUGAAUCUGACAGAAGGUGCAUCCCGCACAGGAAGAGGGCGGGCAAGUUUGUGGCAUUUGAAGGCACUGACACUAGCAGGAGAUUCAUAGGAUGUGCUACUGAGGAUGGUGUGAACUGUGGUGUUCUGGAGUGGGUAGAUGUCCCCUGGCCUGUAAUUCUGCAAAGGUGCUUAAGCAAGCUCUGGGAACAGAAUCUUGGUAGAGCCCAGGAUAAUGAGGCUCAUGGGAUAGAGGUUGCAAAACUGCAGAAGGAGCUUGCUUCUCUGGCCAAUCAGUAUAGCCAGCUGGUGGAUGAUGUGUCCAAGUUGUUUGAUUAUCAGGAUGGAAUCAAACCUCAUGACAUGGGUUGCACAAGCCAGGCAAUCAAUGAACUGAAGGAGAAGAAGAAGCAACUUGAGGAGCAGGCAAAGAUUGAGCUUCAAAUGGAGAAGCUUAAGCUCAAGAAAGAACAAAGGUGCAUCCUUUAG
RNAcentral lists this ribosomal RNA (600 nucleotides) under Triticum aestivum (bread wheat). Its description in RNAcentral is "partial small subunit ribosomal RNA". Lineage: Eukaryota; Viridiplantae; Streptophyta; Magnoliopsida; Poales; Poaceae. The record is from RNAcentral.